RNAcentral lists this ribosomal RNA (477 nucleotides) under uncultured bacterium. Its description in RNAcentral is "partial 16S ribosomal RNA". It matches the Rfam family "Bacterial small subunit ribosomal RNA", at positions 30 to 507 of the family's 1533-position model. The record is from RNAcentral.
AUUGAACGCUGGCGGCAUGCCUUACACAUGCAAGUCGAACGGUAACAGGUUAAGCUGACGAGUGGCGAACGGGUGAGUAAUGUAUCGGAACGUGCCCAGUCGUGGGGGAUAACUGCUCGAAAGAGCAGCUAAUACCGCAUACGACCUGAGGGUGAAAGCGGAGGAUCGCAAGACCUCGCGCGAUUGGAGCGGCCGAUAUCAGAUUAGGUAGUUGGUGAGGUAAAGGCUCACCAAGCCGACGAUCUGUAGCUGGUCUGAGAGGACGACCAGCCACACUGGGACUGAGACGCGGCCCAGACUCCUACGGGAGGCAGCAGUGGGGAAUUUUGGACAAUGGGCGCAAGCCUGAUCCAGCCAUGCCGCGUGCGGGAAGAAGGCCUUCGGGUUGUAAACCGCUUUUGUCAGGGAAGAAAAGGUUCUGGCUAAUACCUGGGACUCAUGACGGUACCUGAAGAAUAAGCACCGGCUAACUACGUG